Molecule: unclassified non-coding RNA, 253 nt
Filed under: uncultured Caryophanales bacterium
Lineage: Bacteria; Bacillati; Bacillota; Bacilli; Caryophanales
Description: uncultured Bacillales bacterium contains 16S-23S intergenic spacer region
Rfam family: Bacterial small subunit ribosomal RNA
Source: RNAcentral
UACGUAGGUGGCAAGCGUUGUCCGGAAUUAUUGGGCGUAAAGCGCGCGCAGGCGGUCCUUUAAGUCGGAUGGGAAAGCCCACGGCCCAACCGUGGAGGGUCAUUUGAAACUGGGAGACUUGAGUGCAGAAGAGGAAAGUGGAAUUCCAUGUGUAGCGGUGAAAUGCGUAGAAAUGUAGAGGAACACCAGUGGCGAAGGCGACUUUCUGGUCUGUAACUGACGCUGAGGCGCGAAAGCGUGGGGAGCAAACAGG